GACGAACGCUGGCGGCGUGCUUAACACAUGCAAGUCGAGCGGAAAGGCUCCUUCGGGGGUACUCGAGCGGCGAACGGGUGAGUAACACGUGAGUAAUCUGCCCUUGGCUUUGGGAUAACUACCGGAAACGGUGGCUAAUACCGGAUACGACCACUCCUUGCAUGAGGUGGUGGUGGAAAGUUUUUUCGGCCAGGGAUGUGCUCGCGGCCUAUCAGCUUGUUGGUGGGGUAAUGGCCUACCAAGGCUUCGACGGGUAGCCGGCCUGAGAGGGUGACCGGCCACACUGGGACUGAGACACGGCCCAGACUCCUACGGGAGGCAGCAGUGGGGAAUAUUGGACAAUGGGCGGAAGCCUGAUCCAGCAACGCCGCGUGAGGGAUGACGGCCUUCGGGUGGUAAACCUCUUCUAGUACCGACGAAGCG
Molecule: ribosomal RNA, 423 nt
Filed under: uncultured bacterium
Lineage: Bacteria
Description: bacterial SSU rRNA
Rfam family: Bacterial small subunit ribosomal RNA
Source: RNAcentral